UCGGAUCGUUUUAGAAACAUCAGUGGCCAACAGAUCGCCAGAUCGUUGAGCUGCAUUGGCGGGAUUUCGCCGUCUUCGUUUCUCUUUCUUCGCGGACGAACACGCGCUGGGCCUGCAACGGCAGGAUCCAGGGUCCUUAACGGGAUGUGCGUUAGGGGCUUGUAGCUCAGUUGGUUAGAGCGCGCGCUUGAUAAGCGUGAGGUCGGAAGUUCAAGUCUUCCCAGGCCCACCACUUUCAUCGAGUGAGCAUUCGUCUUCUGGUUACGGGGCCAUAGCUCAGCUGGGAGAGCGCGUGCUUUGCAAGCAUGAGGUCGUCGGUUCGAUCCCGUCUGGCUCCACCAGAUGGUUUGAUCACCGAGAUCUUGACCGUCGUCCGCGAAACAUCACUUCGCAUCCUGCUAGUCUGGAUAGACAGCAGUUUGCGUGUUUUCUGACAUCGUAAAGAGGAGAUCGAUCCGAGUUGGGUCGUGCAGCAUAUCGUUGCGCGAGCCUUCAUUAUCUCCGGAUCAUUUCGGCGCUCGCUUCCAGCCGUGAGGUUGGAUGCGGGUUGUAAAUGAUCCUUUUAGCGAAGCUUGACCGCCUCGCUAUCGGAACGAUCUUACGAAGCAAGCUGGUCUUUCUAGUCAAUGUCCGGCUGCGGAUAGCGUUCAUCGAGGGCGCGUGCCGCAAGGCAAUUCUGCAGACAACAUUCUGCCGAGUGUGUGGACAUUGAUAAUGAGAGCAAUCAAGUGCCUUAAGGGUGUUCGGUGGAUGCCUUGGCGCUGAGAGGCGAUGAAGGACGUGCUACGCUGCGAUAAGCCGUGGGGAGCUGCGAAGAAGCUUUGAUCCGCGGAUUUCCGAUGGG
This 844-nucleotide unclassified non-coding RNA is filed under the name Bradyrhizobium sp. RNAcentral describes it as "partial 16S-23S ribosomal RNA intergenic spacer". The stretch from base 723 to 844 matches the Rfam family "Bacterial large subunit ribosomal RNA", at positions 1 to 122 of the family's 2925-position model. The record is from RNAcentral. Lineage: Bacteria; Pseudomonadati; Pseudomonadota; Alphaproteobacteria; Hyphomicrobiales; Nitrobacteraceae.